Molecule: long non-coding RNA, 1270 nt
Filed under: Pongo abelii (Sumatran orangutan)
Lineage: Eukaryota; Metazoa; Chordata; Mammalia; Primates; Hominidae
Description: lincRNA
Source: RNAcentral
CGAUUCCUCUGCCCUGGAUAGAGAGUGGUGUCUCAUAACAGUUUGGAAACUACAAAAGUUUCCCUGGCAGGAUGAAUGAUUGACUCGGCAACAUGUUCUUGCCUUUUGGAGUUGCCCUCCAAUUUUUCCAGGCUUGAUUCUGUAAAUCAUUUCGUCUUGUGAAAAUACUGGGCCGUGAGCACAGAUGAUCUCAAAGAUGAGGAAACAGAAGCUGGGAUAUGUGAGUAAACAUUUCCAAGGUCCUGCAGCUAAUCAGUGGUUGACAACUUCUUUCCUCUGCCUAUGUUGCCAUCCAUGUCAUGGUUUGUGUCAAGACUCUAGGAGAAGUCUACCAUCAGCACCACAGCUACUGUGCACAAAUCCAGAAUGCCAGACUGAAAGCAGAAGGAAGGGUAAAAGUUCAAUUCUCAGAUGGCAAUUCAGAUUUAGAAAACAGAAUGAGAAAGAGCAGUAGUGUCCAUCUCUCCUCAAUGAUGAAUUCAUGUCUUAAAAUGUAUCUGCAUCUAUUUCUUUCGGUCUACCAUCCAUCCAUCCAUCCAUCUUUCCUUCUUUCUUCUUUCUCUUUCUCUCUCUCCCUCCUUCCUUCUCUUCUUUCUUCCUUCCUUUUCAUAAGUAAAACUAGUACUAAUGCAGAAGUCUGAAAUUAGACUUUAAAAACGAGUACUACUCUUUUUUUUUCCUUUUUUGAGAGAGCUGGUGAUUUUCUUCCUUGCUUGGCAUUAACUGUCUUACUGUCUUAUGAUACUUAUCUUUAAUGUGGCAUAUCAGAGAACCUCUUUGAAAAUGUUAUGGCUUAAUGCGGCUCAGGGAAAGGCAAAAUAAAGCUUUCUGAUACAGACUUCACAGUUAAUUUUUGAGAAGGUCCACUUUCAUAUGCAAGCAAAUCUGUUUAGAAAUGUUUUAAAUUUUAAAGCAUGCAUACACAUAUAAAACUCAUUUAUGUGUUUUUAAAUGCUGUUUAAAAUUUUAAAGUAUACAUACAGAGCAAGAGAGCAAGAGAGGGUGCUCAAUAUGCAUCAUAAUAGCAUGAGAACUGAAAAAUAAAAGUUUACUUGCAAACUUAACCGGCUUUGCAAUGCAACAGACUAAACAAGUCACAUUUUAUACAAUGUAUAUGUUUAUAAUAUGAGUGCAGCAUGCCAAUGUGCUAUUUAGAUCAUUGUCCUGGUUGAAUGAACAAGCUCACAGGUUCACCAUUUAAUAUUUGUUCUCUUAAAAACAUGAAACUCGUUUUGAAAAUACUGGCUUAAAUGGGCAUUAUUAAGUCUUU